Molecule: ribosomal RNA, 18 nt
Filed under: Cytospora pruinosa
Lineage: Eukaryota; Fungi; Ascomycota; Sordariomycetes; Diaporthales; Cytosporaceae
Description: partial 18S ribosomal RNA
Source: RNAcentral
GGAAUUACAGGUCUCCGU